GGAAUCUUCGGCAAUGGACGAAAGUCUGACCGAGCAACGCCGCGUGAGUGAAGAAGGUUUUCGGAUCGUAAAACUCUGUUGGUAGAGAAGAACGUUGGUGAGAGUGGAAAGCUCAUCAAGUGACGGUAACUACCCAGAAAGGGACGACUAACUACGUGCCAG
Molecule: ribosomal RNA, 162 nt
Filed under: uncultured bacterium
Lineage: Bacteria
Description: partial 16S ribosomal RNA
Rfam family: Bacterial small subunit ribosomal RNA
Source: RNAcentral